This 80-nucleotide ribosomal RNA is filed under the name Spiroplasma citri. Its description in RNAcentral is "partial 23S ribosomal RNA". The record is from RNAcentral. Lineage: Bacteria; Bacillati; Mycoplasmatota; Mollicutes; Entomoplasmatales; Spiroplasmataceae.
UGAAUGCCUUGGGAAUAGGAGACGAUGAAGGACGUGACUACCUGCGAUAAGGUUCGGGGAGCUGGAAGUAAGCUUGACCG